RNAcentral lists this ribosomal RNA (255 nucleotides) under uncultured bacterium. RNAcentral describes it as "partial 16S ribosomal RNA". It matches the Rfam family "Bacterial small subunit ribosomal RNA", at positions 15 to 244 of the family's 1533-position model. The record is from RNAcentral.
GAUCCUGGCUCAGGACGAACGCUGGCGGCGUGCUUAACACAUGCAAGUCGAACGAAAAGACGGAAAGAGCUUGCUCUUUUCAGAAUUGAGUGGCAAACGGGUGAGUAACACGUAAACAACCUGCCUUCAGGAUGGGGACAACAGACGGAAACGACUGCUAAUACCGAAUAAGUUCCAAGGGCCGCAUGGCCCAUGGAAGAAAAGGUGGCCUCUACCUGUAAGCUAUCGCCUGAAGAGGGGUUUGCGUCCGAUUAG